GACGAACGCUGGCGGCGUGCUUAACACAUGCAAGUCGAGCGGUAAGGCCCUUCGGGGUACACGAGCGGCGAACGGGUGAGUAACACGUGAGUAAUCUGCCCAUCACUUCGGGAUAACUCCGGGAAACCGGUGCUAAUACCGAAUAUGACCACUUCAGGCAUCUGAUGGUGGUGGAAAGUUCCGGCGGUGAUGGAUGGGCUCGCGGCCUAUCAGCUUGUUGGUGGGGUAGCGGCCUACCAAGGCUUCGACGGGUAGCCGGCCUGAGAGGGUGACCGGCCACACUGGUACUGAGACACGGCCCAGACUCGUACGGGAGGCAGCAGUGGGGAAUAUUGGACAAUGGGCGAAAGCCUGAUCCAGCAACGCCGCGUGAGGGAUGACGGCCUUCGGGUUGUAAACCUCUUUCAGCAGGGACGAAGCGCAAGUGACGGUACCUGCAGAAGAAGCACCGGCCAACUACGUG
RNAcentral lists this ribosomal RNA (463 nucleotides) under uncultured bacterium. Its description in RNAcentral is "partial 16S ribosomal RNA". It matches the Rfam family "Bacterial small subunit ribosomal RNA", at positions 28 to 507 of the family's 1533-position model. The record is from RNAcentral.